GGACUGGUUCACAGGUGGUGCAUGGUUGUCGUCAGCUCGUGUCGUGAGAUGUUGGGUUAAGUCCCGCAACGAGCGCAACCCUCGUUCUAUGUUGCCAGCACGUGAUGGUGGGGACUCAUAGGAGACUGCCGGGGUCAACUCGGAGGAAGGUGGGGACGACGUCAAAUCAUCAUGCCCCUUAUGUCUUGGGCUUCAAGCAUGCUACAAUGGUCGGUACAAUGGGUUGCGAAACUGUGAGGUGGAGCGAAUCCCAAAAAGCCGGCCUCAGUUCGGAUUGGGGUCUGCAACUCGACCCCAUGAAGUCGGAGUCGCUAGUAAUCGCAGAUCAGCAACGCUGCGGUGAAUACGUUCCCGGGCCUUGUACACACCGCCCGUCAAGUCACGAAAGUCGGU
Molecule: ribosomal RNA, 393 nt
Filed under: Brachybacterium sp.
Lineage: Bacteria; Bacillati; Actinomycetota; Actinomycetes; Micrococcales; Dermabacteraceae
Description: bacterial SSU rRNA
Rfam family: Bacterial small subunit ribosomal RNA
Source: RNAcentral